UUGAGGAGGCGGUGACCGUGGCGGUAGAGGAGGAGGAUGAGGUAGCCAACACUGUUUUUUUUAAUAUAUAUAAAUAUAUAUUUUAAUUGGGUUAGCCCCCAAAAUAUUGGGACAUAUAAAAAAAAAGACAACUCUGUUCCACAGAGUAGUAGUUAACAUUAUAGUUGCGCAGGCACUUUGUUGACUCUAGAGAACCUCGGGCCAAUCGCACAUCCCUGUGGCGGCGACUUUGCAUGCGGAUGUCAUCCAUAUCAACGUUUGAUGCCAGUUUCUGCGCCUACCAUGGUGACCACGGGUAACGGGGAAUCAGGGUUCCAUUCCGUACAGGGACCAUGAGAAACAGCUAUCACAUGCAAGAAAGGCA
This 364-nucleotide ribosomal RNA is filed under the name Pelobates cultripes (western spadefoot toad). RNAcentral's name for it is "SSU_rRNA_eukarya". It matches the Rfam family "Eukaryotic small subunit ribosomal RNA", at positions 65 to 427 of the family's 1831-position model. Lineage: Eukaryota; Metazoa; Chordata; Amphibia; Anura; Pelobatidae. The record is from RNAcentral.